UGCAGUCGACGAUGAAGCCCUUCGGGGUGGAUUAGUGGCGAACGGGUGAGUAACACGUGGGCAAUCUGCCCUGCACUCUGGGACAAGCCCUGGAAACGGGGUCUAAUACCGGAUAUGACCGUCCAUCGCAUGGUGGAUGGUGUAAAGCUCCGGCGGUGCAGGAUGAGCCCGCGGCCUAUCAGCUAGUUGGUGAGGUAGUGGCUCACCAAGGCGACGACGGGUAGCCGGCCUGAGAGGGCGACCGGCCACACUGGGACUGAGACACGGCCCAGACUCCUACGGGAGGCAGCAGUGGGGAAUAUUGCACAAUGGGCGAAAGCCUGAUGCAGCGACGCCGCGUGAGGGAUGACGGCCUUCGGGUUGUAAACCUCUUUCAGCAGGGAAGAAGCGAAAGUGACGGUACCUGCAGAAGAAGCGCCGGCUAACUACGUGCCAGCAGCCGCGGUAAUACGUAGGGCGCAAGCGUUGUCCGGAAUUAUUGGGCGUAAAGAGCUCGUAGGCGGCUUGUCACGUCGGUUGUGAAAGCCCGGGGCUUAACCCCGGGUCUGCAGUCGAUACGGGCAGGCUAGAGUUCGGUAGGGGAGAUCGGAAUUCCUGGUGUAGCGGUGAAAUGCGCAGAUAUCAGGAGGAACACCGGUGGCGAAGGCGGAUCUCUGGGCCGAUACUGACGCUGAGGAGCGAAAGCGU
Molecule: ribosomal RNA, 687 nt
Filed under: Streptomyces sp. 11469
Lineage: Bacteria; Bacillati; Actinomycetota; Actinomycetes; Kitasatosporales; Streptomycetaceae
Description: bacterial SSU rRNA
Rfam family: Bacterial small subunit ribosomal RNA
Source: RNAcentral